This is a long non-coding RNA of Helianthus annuus (common sunflower), 2361 nucleotides long. RefSeq lists it as uncharacterized. The record is from RefSeq and is a predicted model, not a curated record. NCBI's taxonomy places the organism in Eukaryota, Viridiplantae, Streptophyta, Magnoliopsida, Asterales, Asteraceae. The transcript is spliced from 10 exons.
CCCUCAUUCUUUCUCUCAGUCGAUCCAUCUUUCUAAGCGUGCUUAGGGUUUUUCAAUUCUUUUCCUCCAUUUUCAAUCGUAGCCGCCUGUCCUUCGUCUGCAAAUCUUCGAUCUUUUAAUGCCGCUCCACAAUUAGGGUUUCUUCUUCUUCAAUGUCUCUGUUGACCCUCCAUCUCUGUGUGUCCUUAUUUUCAUUAUAAAGUUUUCGAUGGAUUAUCUGUAUUGUUAUUAGUUCGAUCUUAAUAGAUCUGUGUUGAAGGAUGUGCGAACAGAGAUCUAGGGUUAGAUCUGGCAAAAGUUUUGGAUGAUUUUGGAUCUUUUAUUGUGUUAGGAUUUUUAUUUUCAAUGUAUGAAUCUGGUUCGUCAAUCAAAGGGGUAUACUUCUCAUUUGGGAAGAUAAUCGAUUAUCUCGCAGUCAAUCAAGAUCAAAGAUGGAAAGAGACUUCAGCGAAACAGAGUAAUGGUUCCUCAAGCCCUUAAAAUUUUUCAUUCAGGUGGAAUUGCUUGAAAGAAAAUGGAGGGGUGAUUGCAGGGAAUGCUAGAUCAAAUGGAGACAAAGUAUGGAUUUGUCAUAGACAGUUCGACUUCUACAUCAAAAUGGAUCUAUUUGUUCUGGAUUGGUUCGGGUUGUCAGGGAAGAUGGGUCGGGGGUUAAUGCAGUUGAAGUUUCUUAGCAAGUUGUCGCUGGCAAGUUAAAGGCCUUGUAUAGUCUUGAUUUGAUUGUAAACCAGUUAAAUGGAAGCAUUCCUAUUGAAGUAGGAGGAGAAACUUCUCGUAUUAUCACAGAACUCUCUUUCUGGCAACAUUCCAAGUUUAGUUGCAACCUGUUCAUUCCUAACUUCUCUGUAAGAUUCUUUGAUUUAUUAUGUUUUAUAAGCUGUUAUGUUAUUUUUGAUCUAAUCUAUAUGCUUUUUGCAAGAUAUUAUCUAGAAACAGUCUUUCCGGUCAAGUUCACGUAGCAAUGGUGAAACUUGCUGAUCUGAAUAUGUAGAUUUGUCUCUUAACAAACUCACCGGAACUACCAAAGCAACCUUGCCCAUCUUGUAGCUGGCAAUUCAACCUUUUACGGUGUUGCAGUGAACAGAAGUUGUCCAGCUGUGCUUUCUAAACCAGUAGUACUCAACCCAACUCAACCGGUUCAGACGUUAACUUGGUCCCUCAGACUCUUGAUAACAAGCAAACAAUUCAUAGCAUUUCGGCUUUCGUUGCAAUUGGUCAGCAGCCACAGUCCCUUUAUCUGGUGGUGGUUUCAACAGCUCCCCUAGCACAGACACAAAUUCUGGCAAGCAGCAAGCUGGUAGUGUUUUCUGGCGAACCCGACUUCAUUAUAGGAGCACAUGAAGGGUAUAUCAAGCUCUCGGCCGUGGAGGGUUUGGCCCAGUAUAUCGAACUGUUCUGGGAGAUGGCCGAUCAGUUUCUGUCAAAAAGCUCACAGUCUCAAGCCUUGUCAAAUCUCAAGAAGAUUUCUCGAGGGAGGUUAAGAAACCGGAAAGAUUCAUCAUCUGAAUCUUGUAGCACUCGAAGGGUCGUCCACCAAAUUACAGAAAUGGUGUUGUUUUGAGUUAGGAGACGGAGAAGAAGAGAACAGGGGAGAGUGUGUUCUGCAAGUGGCAGCUCCGUUAAGGGUAAACAAAUUAGCCCAAAGGAAGUCAGCUGUUUUACUAUCAGAGCUAUAUUGAAAGAUUGUGACUAAGGAAACUGAUAGAGCCGAGUGCCAGUUUACAAUCACAGCAACACAGGUUGCGGGAACUGAACCAUGAUUUGAGGUGCCUGCGUUGGGAACAUGGAGACUCAACAAUGGCAGUGAUUAUUAACUGCAAAAUGCUGUUGAACUGCGUCGAACAACAUAAAACAAGGAUAGUCGGUUUGAUCUAGCAGGAGCUGGUUAAAUGCUGAUCGGAUGUGGUUAUAGGCAGGUGUGGCACAAUUGCCGAGGCAUUGAUCAGAGGACUUCCAAUCAUCCUCAAUAACUAUAUUCCAGGACAAAUCAUUUUAUGCAUCUUGUUUUGAUCAAAGGUUGCCCUCAUACUUUCUAUUUAUGGUAAAAACAAUUAACUUCUCUGUUUUUUUCUAAUGUACUUCCGUUAUUCUUUUUAACUUCACUGCUUAAGGGGGUAUAGAAAAGAUGAACUUGAACUUGGCCCGGUUAGUCACUUGUUCCGAACUCACACACAUGAGUGGCACAAGGCAGGUUGAGUCAAUAUGUCAAAGUAGGUUUGGUUAACGCACAAUGUCACAAAUACUUAUAAACUGGUCAAAGCAGGUUAGAUUUUUGACUUUCAUGGUGCCUUAUUAGUCUUUUUUUAUUCAUUAAAAGUACAGUACUAUUAUUAGUUUUUAUGUUAUUUUUGAAUGCGAUAU